GGCGGCACGCAGGCGCUCUCUUCAGCUUCCCUUGAUCUUUGACCCGUCGGCCGCCCUUGAGCCGGGGCCCCGGGGCGGGGGGAGCCGGUUUGGGAUCUGGAGCCGGUUUGGGACCCGGUGCUGGAGCCGGUUACCCUGAGGUAGAGCAGCCGCCAUGGCCAAGUACCUGGCCCAGAUCAUUGUGAUGGGGGUACAGGUGGUGGGCAGGGCCUUUGCCCGGGCCCUCCGACAGGAGUUUGCAGCCAGCCGGGCCGCAGCUGAUGCCCGGGGACGUGCCGGACACCAGUCUGCAGCUGCCUCUAACCUCUCUGGCCUCAGCCUCCAGGAGGCACAGCAGAUCCUCAAUGUCUCCAAGCUGAACCCCAAGGAUAUCCAGAAGAAUUAUGAACACCUAUUCAAGGUGAACGAUAAAUCUGUGGGCGGCUCCUUCUACCUGCAGUCAAAGGUGGUCCGAGCAAAGGAGCGCCUUGAGGAGGAACUCCGAAUCCAGGCCCAGGAGGACAGAGAGAAAGAGCAGAGGCCCCAGACGUGACCACUUGGCUCCUCCUGCCCCACUCCGCCCACCACCUCUAAUUUAUAGUUUGAUGACAGCACCCACUUCAACAAGUGAACUGAUGAAUCUGAUUAUAGACUUCAUAAAGACCCUACUAGGAGCAAGCCCACAGUGAGCACUGCAUGAACGCCGCCUGCCCUUUGUGUAGCCCUUACUGGGCAAAACAGCUCCAGAUUCACUAAACGUCUCCUCCUGUGCUGACCAGAAUGGAACCAUGAGACUGUGGGCCUUCAAGCAUGGCCAGCCCAGACGGAAAUCUGGUGUAACAUGCACACCAGAUUCUGCAGACUUCAUAUGAAGUAAAGAAUUUCAGUGUCUCAGUGAUACCUUUUCAAUUUUGAAAAGACAACCCUUUGGACAUACUGGGUUCAAGAAAAUAUAUGAUUACACUUCAUUUCA
Artibeus jamaicensis (Jamaican fruit-eating bat) is the source of this 952-nucleotide RNA transcript. It is a transcript of the gene named presequence translocase associated motor 16, with no coding region annotated. The transcript is spliced from 6 exons. NCBI's taxonomy places the organism in Eukaryota, Metazoa, Chordata, Mammalia, Chiroptera, Phyllostomidae. The record is from RefSeq and is a predicted model, not a curated record.